This 678-nucleotide long non-coding RNA is filed under the name Triticum aestivum (bread wheat). Its description in RNAcentral is "long non-coding RNA (TAES_LNC016580)". Lineage: Eukaryota; Viridiplantae; Streptophyta; Magnoliopsida; Poales; Poaceae. The record is from RNAcentral.
CCCUCUCUUCGGGCUGCUCAAGCCCAACGGCAAGAUGGUCAUGGUCGGCCUCCCAGAGAAGCCUGUCGAGGUCCCUCCCUUUGCUCUGGUUGCCAGUAAGUCCUCCCAUCUCACAAGCCACCUAGAUAUCCUCUCCGAUCUCGCAAUUGAAGAAAUCAUGCGACCACAGGCAUUUUGUGCGUAACUGAUACACAUUGUGCGUGUGGCUGAAUGUACAGAGAACAAGACCCUGGCCGGGAGCUUCAUCGGCGGCAUGAGGGACACCCAGGAGAUGCUGGACCUCGCGGCGAAGCAUAGUGUGACGGCAGACAUCGAGGUGAUCAGCGCCGAGUACGUGAACACGGCCAUGGAGCGCCUUGCCAAGGCCGACGUCAGGUAUCGGUUCGUCAUCGACAUCGGCAACACCCUCGACAAGGCCGCCGCCGCCGCCGCCGCCAAGUGAUCGACUGACUGCCAGACAUAACUCAUCAAUGCUCACGGUCUACUUUGGCCUCUGCUAUUGUCCUAUUAACAAUGAAGAAUGUAAAAUUCUUGUCAGUGAUGUAUUGUGUACUGUUGUUCAUGAGAAAACUGCGUUGGCGGAUGGAUGGAAAGUUUGCUUCUUGACGGGAUAAUGGAGCUUCUUCCUGCUGUUUCCUAUUGUCUAAGGGCCACUUUGAUUUCCUACUGUUUCCCCUG